GUACGGAUGAAGCGUCCAAAAUAAGGACGAAACAACUGUCCAGUAC
Molecule: non-coding RNA, 46 nt
Filed under: Trichobilharzia regenti
Lineage: Eukaryota; Metazoa; Platyhelminthes; Trematoda; Strigeidida; Schistosomatidae
Source: RNAcentral